RNAcentral lists this ribosomal RNA (441 nucleotides) under Triticum aestivum (bread wheat). RNAcentral describes it as "partial small subunit ribosomal RNA". The record is from RNAcentral. Lineage: Eukaryota; Viridiplantae; Streptophyta; Magnoliopsida; Poales; Poaceae.
AUGGACAUUUCUUCCAAUUUCUUGAUAGGAAGCAUCCCAGAAUCAUUCGGACAACUCAAUAUGUUGACAAACCUGAAUUUAUCACAUAAUUAUUUCAAAGGCUCAAUUCCAGGCACACUCGAAAAGCUAACAAGUUUAGCAUCAUUAGACCUCUCAUUUAACAAUCUCUCUGGCACCAUUCCCAUAUUCCUUGCCAAGUUUACAUAUUUGACUAGCUUGAACCUGUCAUUCAAUAGCAGUCUAGCAGGCCAAAUACCGGAGGGGGGUGAUUUCUCAAACCUCACCUCGCAGUCCUUGAUUGGGAAUCCUCGUCUAUGUGGAGCCCCGCACGUAAGAUUUCCAACAUGCUUCGACAAAUCUCACUCAAGUAAUAGACACUUGCUACAAUGUUUACUUCCAACACUCACAUUAGCUUUCGGCGCCGUUGUUAUUUCCUUAUAG